GCAAAAACUUUCAACAACGGAUCUCUUGGUUCUGGCAUCGAAAAANAAACGCAACAAA
RNAcentral lists this ribosomal RNA (58 nucleotides) under Capronia americana. RNAcentral describes it as "Phialophora americana partial 5.8S ribosomal RNA". The record is from RNAcentral. Lineage: Eukaryota; Fungi; Ascomycota; Eurotiomycetes; Chaetothyriales; Herpotrichiellaceae.